RNAcentral lists this ribosomal RNA (35 nucleotides) under Leucocoprinus badhamii. RNAcentral describes it as "Leucoagaricus badhamii partial 18S ribosomal RNA". The record is from RNAcentral. Lineage: Eukaryota; Fungi; Basidiomycota; Agaricomycetes; Agaricales; Agaricaceae.
AGGUUCCGUAGGUGAACCUGCGGAAGGAUCAUUAU